GAACGCCGUAUGAGGGGAAACUCUCACGUACGGUGUGGAGCGGGGGAAAAGGUGGAGAUUAUAUCAAAGCCUUACCUAUCGCUAU
Molecule: non-coding RNA, 85 nt
Organism: Bacillus sp. 2_A_57_CT2
Lineage: Bacteria; Bacillati; Bacillota; Bacilli; Caryophanales; Bacillaceae
Source: Rfam